CUACCUGGACUCCUCGACUCCUCUGCACAAGUGCCAGGACGGGACCGUGGAGGCGGGCUUCUGCAUCCGCGCCG
Molecule: transfer RNA, 74 nt
Filed under: Streptomyces mutabilis
Lineage: Bacteria; Bacillati; Actinomycetota; Actinomycetes; Kitasatosporales; Streptomycetaceae
Source: RNAcentral